Molecule: ribosomal RNA, 252 nt
Filed under: uncultured bacterium
Lineage: Bacteria
Description: partial 16S ribosomal RNA
Rfam family: Bacterial small subunit ribosomal RNA
Source: RNAcentral
UACGUAGGGGGCAAGCGUUGUCCGGAAUCAUUGGGCGUAAAGCGCGUGUAGGCGGCCCGAUAAGUCCGCUGUGAAAGCCCAGGGCUCAACCCUGGGAUGCCGGUGGAUACUGUCGGGCUCGAGUCCGGAAGAGGCGAGUGGAAUUCCUGGUGUAGCGGUGAAAUGCGCAGAUAUCGGGAGGAACACCAAUGGCGAAGGCAGCUCGCUGGACGGUACUGACGCUGAGACGCGAAAGCGUGGGGAGCAAACAGG